UAAAUUGAGAGUUUGAUCCUGGCUCAGGAUGAACGCUGGCGGCGUGCCUAAUACAUGCAAGUCGAACGAAACUUCUUUAUCACCGAGUGCUUGCACUCACCGAUAAAGAGUUGAGUGGCGAACGGGUGAGUAACACGUGGGCAACCUGCCCAAAAGAGGGGGAUAACACUUGGAAACAGGUGCUAAUACCGCAUAACCAUAGUUACCGCAUGGUAACUAUGUAAAAGGUGGCUAUACUACCGCUUUUGGAUGGGCCCGCGGCGCAUUAGCUAGUUGGUAGGGUAAAGGCUUACCAAGGCAAUGAUGCGUAGCCGAAUUGAGAGGUUGAUCGGCCACAUUGGGACUGAGACACGGCCCAAACUCCUACGGGAGGCAGCAGUAGGGAAUCUUCCACAAUGGGCGAAAGCCUGAUGGAGCAACGCCGCGUGGGUGAAGAAGGUCUUCGGAUCGUAAAACCCUGUUGUUAGAGAAGAAAGUGCGUGAGAGUAACUGUUCACGUUUCGACGGUAUCUA
Molecule: ribosomal RNA, 513 nt
Filed under: Ligilactobacillus murinus
Lineage: Bacteria; Bacillati; Bacillota; Bacilli; Lactobacillales; Lactobacillaceae
Description: bacterial SSU rRNA
Rfam family: Bacterial small subunit ribosomal RNA
Source: RNAcentral